Molecule: long non-coding RNA, 2608 nt
Filed under: Hordeum vulgare
Lineage: Eukaryota; Viridiplantae; Streptophyta; Magnoliopsida; Poales; Poaceae
Description: long non-coding RNA (HVUL_LNC009869)
Source: RNAcentral
CGCCGUCGAGCUUAUCCGGGAGCCCGGCUAACUGACUCGACCACAGCUAUUUAAGGCCCAGUGAGAGUGCCGCUACCGGUGCCGGCCAAAAUUCCUUUCUCUUAGUAGCCCCCUCCCCUGGCCCUCUUCUUCAGAAGCCCUUAGAAGGCCCCGGAAGCUCAUUCCCCUCCUCUCACCACCCGAAGAGAGCUCAUGGAAGGAGCCCAUUUCUCGGCGAAGCCGCCGGCCACCAUUGCCGCAGCUGCGUGAAAUGCAGACCGUAUCGACGUCUCUCUCCACUCCCCCGGGGUGAGGCUCUCUCCCCUGAGCACACAUGUGUGCGGAGUACUAGGAGAGACGUCCCCUAGCGCCGGUAAGCAUCACCGGAGCCCGCCCGUGACCCUGUUCCUGCGCGUGGGAGGUAGGAGAGGAACCAGACAGGUGAGCCCCGCCUGUCGGUGAGCAAGCCAAGCCCCCGAUUGGGGGAGAACCUGGUGCGUUUUCUUUCUAGUAAAACAUAAAUGGAUUGUAACCUUUCUGUGAAUGUGUUUUAUUUGAUGGAAAGUGUAUUCCGCACCAAGACAUUUUAUUUUAUAACUCAUUUAAAAAUGCAGAUUUGACAAAAUCUUUGUGUGGCUAUAACGUGUCAAAGAAAACUCCAAAUGGAGUGAUACUUUUUCCUACCUCUCUAAAAUAACCUCUAGUUUAUUUGCAAAUUUAUUUCAUAUUUUUUAAACAACUAUUAUGUGUUGUUUUGAAAUUAUUCGUUAAUUUAAUAUUUUCAAGAUACGAUUUUGGAGAGAGGAGACUUACUUCAAGAUUUUUGGGGUGCACACCACCCUCCUCAACUCCAAAGGCAAGCAUCUUGAACCCUAGUUUGUUUGGCUUGUGUAAUGUUUGCUGUGAUGAAAUGGACUUCGUGGUAUUAUUAUGCUUAUAAAAACCCCACACAAGAUCAUGCUUGCAUAAAUACUUGUAAUGAAAAUUCUGUUUGUUACUGAAUACAUGUGAUGCAAAGUUGAGUGGGUACUAACUCAUGCCUCGUAUGCCAUGCUAGUCUGGACAACCUCGGAGGAAGGUGUGUCGUCGAGAGUAUGAGACCAUCGGACCGACAUCUCGUGGGACGAGAGUGGUCAGUGAAGGCAUGUCGGGGCGUGAUGGUGGUAACCCUGAGGUAUACCAUUCAGCAAAAUCAUGUGUUACUAACCCUUGCAGGAAAACUUAAACCUCCUAAGUCAACCAUAGAUCGAAUCUUGUCUGUGUAUCACCUUAGCUUUUGUGCUUCCAUAGGUCUUCCCGAAAGGGAAUAUGGUCUAGUAGGUCGUAACCCUUUUACCAGGUACACACCAAGUAGAGAGGUCGGGAUGAAGGUAUCCAUGGCCCUGGACUAAAUCCAGUCAUCCUGUCAGGGGGCAUGGGUGUUCCGGUCUAGGACCGAGAGGGAAUGGCCCUUCCCUUGUAUCACGCGAUAUAAAUUUGAUCCCAUGCUAGUCGAGGUUGGAGUCUCCCCGUCUUACCGUUUUUCCAUGGCAGCGUAGUCCUGGUGAGUCAGGUCUUCGCGGUGGUAAAAUGGGUGUGUGCUAGUUCUGAUAGUUUACUUCUAAAAUAGCAUUCACGGGAUUAGUCCGAGUGACUAUUGAAACCCGCGGGCUAUGGGUAAAGAGUACACCCUCUGUACAGUCAAAAUUGUUCGAGUAGCUGUGUCCACGGUGAAGGUCGACUGGUUGACUAGUCAAGUGUUGGUCUGAGUGUCUGUCUUUGGAGGUAGUUAACGAAAUCGUGAGACUGAUCAUGAAAUAUGGUGGAUGAUCAUACUAUUAUUUUUACUGUGGACUAACCCCUAUGAUUAUGAUUGUUGGAUAUCCCUAGGACGGUUCUACCUCCUCGAUAUCCAAUAUUUAUUAUUGUCUCAUAUAAGACCUUUAUCUGGUGUCGCUAAGACACCCAUUUGCGGCAUGUUUAUUAUUAAUAUAAGACUUCUAUGGGGUGUUUCUAAGAUGCCCGACUGUGGCAUGUCUAUUAUUAAUAUAAGCCCUUUAUGUGGUGUCGCUUAGACGCGCGAGUGCGCCAUGUUUAUUAUUAAUAUAAGCCCUUUAUGUGGUGUCACUUAGACGCCCGACUGCGGCAUGUUUAUUAUAACUAUAAGCCCUUAAUGUGGUGACGCUUCGACGACCGACUGUGGCUUGUGUUACUUGUCUUUCCGAGGUGUCACCUCAGACGCCCGAUCGACAAGCUUAUAAUUGAUUAUUACCCAUCCUUGCUUGUUUAUACAACAUUGGUGGAAUUGAUUUAUCUGCAUAAAUUCAUCCACGAAUUAAUUCUCAUGGAAGGAUAAGUUUAUUAAGUGAUUUAUGCAUGCAUCUCACCUGCUUUAACUUAUCCUUUUUGUCGAUGUUUGCGAGUACAUUCACAGUACUCACUGGCUUGUCCUUGGCUAUUGUCUUGGCCAGAUUACAUUGGAGAGGAGCACAAUGUCAUCAACCCUGGAGAUCUAGGAGUCGAGGAUGGAAGCCUCGUGAGAUAGGAAAUUUAUCCAGGUUAGUUGUUCCUGUGGGAAUGGAGUCCCAUGGGCACCGGAGAUUCCUCGAGUCGCUUCCGCCGUCAUCCUCAGACUUUUGUCCAAACCANN